AACGAACGCUGGCGGCAUGCCUAACACAUGCAAGUCGAACGAGACCUUCGGGUCUAGUGGCGCACGGGUGCGUAACGCGUGGGAACCUGCCCUUAGGUUCGGAAUAACUCCCCGAAAGGGGUGCUAAUACCGGACAAUGUCUUCGGACCAAAGAUUUAUCGCCUUUGGAUGGGCCCGCGUUGGAUUAGCUAGUUGGUAGGGUAAAAGCCUACCAAGGCGACGAUCCAUAGCUGGUCUGAGAGGAUGAUCAGCCACACUGGGACUGAGACACGGCCCAGACUCCUACGGGAGGCAGCAGUGGGGAAUAUUGGACAAGGGGCGAAAGCCUGAUCCAGCAAUGCCGCGUGAGUGAUGAAGGCCUUAGGGUUGUAAAGCUCUUUUACCCGGGAUGAUAAUGACAGUACCGGGAGAAUAAGCUCCGGCUAACUCCGUG
Molecule: ribosomal RNA, 433 nt
Filed under: uncultured bacterium
Lineage: Bacteria
Description: partial 16S ribosomal RNA
Rfam family: Bacterial small subunit ribosomal RNA
Source: RNAcentral